GACGAACGCUGGCGGCGUGCUUAACACAUGCAAGUCGAACGGAAAGGCCCUGCUUUUGUGGGGUGCUCGAGUGGCGAACGGGUGAGUAACACGUGAGUAACCUGCCCUUGACUUUGGGAUAACUUCAGGAAACUGGGGCUAAUACCGGAUAGGAGCUCCUGCUGCAUGGUGGGGGUUGGAAAGUUUCGGCGGUUGGGGAUGGACUCGCGGCUUAUCAGCUUGUUGGUGGGGUAGUGGCUUACCAAGGCUUUGACGGGUAGCCGGCCUGAGAGGGUAACCGGCCACAUUGGGACUGAGAUACGGCCCAGACUCCUACGGGAGGCAGCAGUGGGGAAUAUUGCACAAUGGGCGGAAGCCUGAUGCAGCAACGCCGCGUGCGGGAUGACGGCCUUCGGGUUGUAAACCGCUUUCGCCUGUGACGAAGCGUGAGUGACGGUAAUGGGUAGAGAAGCACCGGCUAACUACGUG
Molecule: ribosomal RNA, 468 nt
Filed under: uncultured bacterium
Lineage: Bacteria
Description: partial 16S ribosomal RNA
Rfam family: Bacterial small subunit ribosomal RNA
Source: RNAcentral